RNAcentral lists this long non-coding RNA (202 nucleotides) under Mytilus galloprovincialis (Mediterranean mussel). Lineage: Eukaryota; Metazoa; Mollusca; Bivalvia; Mytilida; Mytilidae. The record is from RNAcentral.
AAAAUAUGAUUUACUUUUUGUUUGCAUUUUUUAUUUUUAAUUAAAAUCCUUAGACUUAAUUUUAACUCUAUUUGCUUAAAUUAUGUUUGUUACAGUUUUCUAUUAAAAACUUGAUGUAUUUACCUAAAGAAAAUAGUUAGGUUAUGAUCUUCUUUGUCUUAUCACAUUUACAACGCAGCAAGUGCCACUACUUAAGCAGGAC